This 490-nucleotide ribosomal RNA is filed under the name uncultured bacterium. Its description in RNAcentral is "partial 16S ribosomal RNA". It matches the Rfam family "Bacterial small subunit ribosomal RNA", at positions 30 to 507 of the family's 1533-position model. The record is from RNAcentral.
AUUGAACGCUGGCGGCAUGCCUUACACAUGCAAGUCGAACGGCAGCAUGAUCUAGCUUGCUAGAUUGAUGGCGAGUGGCGCACGGGUGAGUAAUACAUCGGAACGUGCCCUGUAGUGGGGGAUAACUAGUCGAAAGAUUAGCUAAUACCGCAUACGACCUGAGGGUGAAAGUGGGGGACCGCAAGGCCUCAUGCUAUAGGAGCGGCCGAUGUCUGAUUAGCUAGUUGGUGAGGUAAAGGCUCACCAAGGCGACGAUCAGUAGCUGGUCUGAGAGGACGAUCAGCCACACUGGGACUGAGACACGGCCCAGACUCCUACGGGAGGCAGCAGUGGGGAAUUUUGGACAAUGGGCGCAAGCCUGAUCCAGCAAUGCCGCGUGUGUGAAGAAGGCCUUCGGGUUGUAAAGCACUUUUGUCCGGAAAGAAAUGGCUCUGGUUAAUACCUGGGGUCGAUGACGGUACCGGAAGAAUAAGGACCGGCUAACUACGUG